RNAcentral lists this long non-coding RNA (7838 nucleotides) under Homo sapiens (human). RNAcentral describes it as "HSALNT0370994". Lineage: Eukaryota; Metazoa; Chordata; Mammalia; Primates; Hominidae. The record is from RNAcentral.
GUAACACUCACUGUAAAAGUCUGCAGCUUCACUCUGGAACCAGCGAGACCACAAACCCACCGGAAGGAAGAAACUGCAAACACAUCCGAGCAUCAGAAGUAACAAACUCCAGACAGGGGGCCUUUAAGAACUGUAACACUGGCCACGAGAGUCCGCGGCUUCAUUUUUGAAGUCAGUGAGACCAAGAACCCACCAAUUCCGGACACAGUACUUGCUGCCUCUCUAUAUCAUCUCCUCUGAAGGCAGGUAUUUGCCUACACAGUCUGCUGAGUACUAAGUGCAACACACACUGCAGGGGCUUCCCAGAGCCCUACUCGGAUUCAGGUGGAUUCUUAUGCAGAUGGUGAAAAAGGUCAAAAGUUUGAACUGGGAAUCAAUUGCUGUAAGUUUCUCUAUGAUAUUCUCCCAGCAAGAUGUCUUCCUUGUAAUAACUUGGGAGAACGUUGACUCCAGGGUAGGAGAGUGUUCCUGAGGAGUCGGCACACUUUAUGGCUGGCCCCAGGCCGUGGGUCAGAAAAAUCCACAGCUGGCCACACCAUUCUGUGCAGCGGGAAAAACCAUCAGUUGAAGGUACUGUGGAAAAUCAGUUAAGCUCAUUCAAUCAUCCUGGUUCCUGGUGGGUUCAGUGUCCCAUAUUUAAGACAAAACUCUUAACACUGUUAUGCUGUGGUCUUCUUUGAGUUCAUCUGUGAAAAAUCUAAAUUGUUAAGUCAAUCACUAGUCUUACAACUAGAAAAGAAACAUACUAUGUAAAGUUGCGACACUUUUCAUAGAAAGCAACAUCUCAAUCUAAUGUUACAUAUUCAGGUGAGUGUUAAACAUCAUCUGAGAUGAGCUCUUCUCUGGGCUCAGCCACAUCUCUCAAGAUCCCAAGAGAAUCAAAAGGUUGAAGUGUGAAUCAAUUUGUAUGAAUUUCUCAUAAAUCCUGUCAACAAGAUGUCAACAGCUGUCUUUAUCGUCAUACAUUUGGGAGGCUGUUGCCUCCAGGAUCUGACAGUGGUUACCAAGGAGUCAGCACCGUCUAUUGCUGGCCCCACGCAGUGGGUCAGAAAAACCCACAACUGGGCAGACAAUUGAGUUCAUCCCAGAAAACCAUCCAUUGAAGGUGCUGUGGAAAGUCAGUGAAGUUCAUUCAAUCAUCAAGAUUCUAGGGGGUUCUGUGUCCCGUACUGAAGUCAGAACUCUCACACUGUUACGCCUUAGUCUUCUUGCAGUUCAUCUACACACAUCUAAAAUGAAGUCAUUGCUGUUUCUGCAACUGUAGAAGUAAAGAUGUAUUUACAAUUUAAAGGAUGGUACCAUUUUACUGGAAAGCAACGUCUCAAUCUUAUGUUGACACAUUCACCUGAGUGUUAAACAUCCACUCAAAAGAGUGUUGCCAACCUUGACUAAAAUAGUCAUUGUGUAGAACAGUUUGAAAUUAACAUGAAAAUGGAACAGACAGAACAGAAAGGUCUCAGAUCCUUUGUCCACCCUUUUCUUUUCUUAACCCCAUUUUCAGUGGUGUGGUCCAUGUGUGUAACAAUGACUAAACCAAUAUGGAUACAUUUUUACGAUCUGAAGUCAGGAGUUUGCAUGGAGGUUCACCGUGUUGUGCCCUCUAUGGGUUGUGACAAACUCCGAAUGCCAUUCACCACCCAUACGAAGUAGCUGCAUGCCUUAAACACUUCCUGUGUUUCCCCUGUGCAUCCCUCUCCCCUUUGCCAGAAGCCCUGGCAACAAGAAUCCUUUUCACUGUGUCUAGAGUUUUCUCUCCCAGAAUUGUAUAGGCUUGGAAUCAUGGAGUAGGCAGCUUUUUCAGACGGCCUUAUCCUCCUCAGCAAUAUUCAUUCACUGCCAGCAUCUGUCUUUGAGGUCACCCCAUGGUCGCCACUCCCCCUUCCCAGCUUUUCCUUGCAAGGUCUCUUGUUGGCUCCAGUGGGAGCUUCUUCCCAUCUGCCCAGGCCCUUCCAACGCCCCCCAGUGUCAGCAAGGCCUGGACCAGGGACACCAGCAGCCCCCUGCACUGGAGUCCUGUGGCUCCACCCCAAGUUUGAAAUUUCCCAGUAACCCUGCAGCCACUGCCCAGCCAGUUCUGGUAGAAAUCAGGGAAAGAAGGAUCUUCCAUGCACUCAGCGACCUUCUCAACUGAAGUCUAAAGUUUCACUACAGAUAAUGUUGCCAAGAAUGUGGAAAAUCUGCCUCCCAUCAUCACCUCUGCCAGCCACGGCUUCUGUGUGGUUGGGCCACAUGCACUGUGUAAAAUGACAAAGGGGCUUCAUCAAUGGCUGAGCAUCAGGGCAGGCACAUGGCUCUGUUCCUAGGAGGAGGACAUGUUAGGUUGUGCAUUGCAGGGUGGGGAAAGAUCAAGUCAGUGUAAUGACAAAGAAAUCCCCACCCGAUUCCCUGCCGAACCUCCUGGGUGAAAUAGGUGUCUGCUGGCUUCUGAGGGCCUUUGCAAGAAAACAGGAUUCUUGCUUAAGCAAAAGUAGGUGUAAAAUGAGGCAUACUAUGGCUUGAGGAACCAUUUGGAUCAUGAACACCACGUGAAAUGCUUUGUAUCAUCAUAGAAAUCCAUUAGCCUGCAAUUGACCUCUUGAUAUUUAUCCCCACAAAGCAAAAAGAUGAGACUGCUCCAUUUGAAAAGGGUCACUUUUGCCUACAGAAACAUGCUUCUCAUAACAAGGCUGUCCUAGACAUUUCUUACUCUCUAGAACACAGUUUCCCAGUGGUGCUUGAGAAAAAACCCAAGGUGAGGACCUCAAUGCUAAAAGCAGUGACGACAAGAUCAAGGACUCCAGGAAUCCAGAGAUGGCCGCUCAGUGGACUCUGUGGGAGAAGGCAGGGCUCCGGCCCCAGGCUGGGCCUGCAGAGGGAGAAGAUAUAGAGGGAUAGAAGGAAGUCACAAGGGUCCCCGGGCCCGGUGAGUUGGGGUUGGGGAGGAUAGAUUCCAGGGUUUUAAUGUCAGGAGACUCAUGACAUCAUCAUCCCCUGAGUCCUAUGAUUUUCCUGCUCCUUCUAAGUGGGAAAGAGCAGGGGGGACGGUCCUGGCUGGAGUGACCCUGCAUGGACAUCGCUGACAUUUCUUAAGAGAGGGUAGUUCCUUCCUGUUGAAGCUGUGACAGGAGCUGGGGACGGGCGUCUUCAUCAUGCUGUGUGACAAAGCAGGCCUUUCCAUCCUGGAAGCUGGCGAGAGGCAGAGAGUAGGAAUCAGGUUUCCGGUCCUCUGAGCCAGACUGGGGGACAUAGUUCAGCAGGGAUGGUGUCAAGGUCAGGCCAGACACACAGAAGUUCCCAGACUGACCUUCCUGGGGCUCAUAGUUCAGCAGGGAUGGUUGUCAAGGUCAGGCCAGACACACAGAAGUUCCCAGACUGACCUUUCUGGGGCUGGACAGAAACCAGUUUCCAUCUUCCACCUGCUUCUGGAAGUUGCCUGUCAAGCGCCCUCUGUAGACAGCACUAGCCAAAGAUUGCCUGGCCCAGAAGUGCAUUGAAACUGAAGGCAGUGUGGCCCCACCUGGCCAGGGCAGCUGCUCACACUGUAGCUCCCUGGAAGGAGCGAGGGCACCGGCUCCCGUUCAGGGCAAGCUCAGCAAAGUGAUGGAGGCUGAUCCCAGAGCCCAGAUCAUCCUUGAUCCUCUGUUUCACAGCCCAGAGGACGUGGGUUUGAGAUUUUCUCUGAAAUGGUCUUAGAGUUCUCAGGCCCAAACUCUUGAGUCCUCGCACUCAUGGGGAUCCGCAAUGCGGCUGCAGCUGUUCAGUGCAGGGGCAGGAAUGUGCCCUCCGCAUUUCCUCUCAUCACAGCGCUCAGCCCUGGGCAGCCUGUCUUAGGCCACAUGAAGGUCUCAUGAAAACACCCCUGGGCUGGGCUCUAGCUCGAGUGGGCAAAGGUUCCCUCCUCACACUGUUCAGCCUGUUGGACCUUCUCACUGAACGAGGCGUCUUCCCAGGAUCUGACCCAAGUCAGAGGGUGGUGAGGGUGGGCUCCUGCAGACCCUGGGAUGUCCAUUUUCCUGGGGUCUCUCUGCUCUGAUGCUGUUUAGACAAGGUUGGUUUCACUUCUCUGUGUGCAAGUGUAACCCCCUCCCCACGGCUUCCCUCUAGGCCAAGGCACUGUCCUCAUGGUUGUAUCCCCAUAUCUCACACAGUGCCUGGCCCUUGUGCAGGUGCUAAAAAAAAUCCUGUUUCCUUGCAGAGGCCCUCAGAAGCCACACAUGAAUGAUGGGAUCAGAGCACCCAACCCCACUGCAAGGAAACACCCAGGGAGGGAGUCAUGUCCUUUUCAUGUUUGUAUCUCUAGAGCUGCAGCAUCUAGCGUGGGAAUCCCAGCCUGGAGGUGCUGUGUAUAACUCAUUCAUUCAUUAGUGCAGUUAAUCACAAUAAAAUGAGAAAUUCCAAUCUUCAUUCACACUGGCCACAUUUCCAGUGCCCCACAGAGUUUGUGCCAGCGGCCACCUUAUGCAACAGCACAGAGAACAUUUCCAUCCACACAGAACACACUCUUGGGAACCUGCUCUGAGCCUGGCAUGGGGUCUGUUCAUGGAACUCAUCUAACUAAGAAACCUGUGCAUCAAAGUUGGAAUUUCAGGUGAAUGGGACUGGAGGAACGAGCUCUAACGAUCCAGCGGAAAUGCGGAAGUGGGAAGAUGAUGGGGGUGCUCUCUCCUGAGGGUUUGCACCCGUGAGCUGUGUCUUGUUAGAGACUCUGGACUCCACAGAGUUAAAGGAGGGUUGAACAGACCAAGAGAGAGAGCAGGGUGGUCUUGUGUGAUCCAGCUUGACCUCAGCUGGAGGAGGAGGGAUGGAUGAACCUUCCUCUGGAAUAAUUGUCUUCCCACUUUUGUCUCUAGAGACUCCAUUGUCAACAGAAGACAUGAUUCAAGCAGUGAUGAAGAAGACACUCCAGGUUUAAAACAACCCAGGAGGGACCCAACGAAGGAGGGUGCCUGUAGCAGUUGGGGUUGGCCUGCUGCCUUAGAGACUGAGGAAGUGGGGGAUGAAAUUAGAAAGUGAAAGGAAACGUGUAUGGAAGGCUGCUUUGUCCUUGUCAUCCUUACUGACUCAAUAGGGAGAGGUUUGGUGCCUCUGGGCUUUGAGUGUGCAGUGUUUGUCAUCAUCUUUUCUUGCUGUGAUUUUUUAAAAAUGAUCUUUCCCGGAAAACCGUGUCUUUCCUGCCUUUGCGUCAGUAAAACUCCAAAGUCUUUGGUGAUGUUUGGCAGCACCUCCUGCGUCUUGGUGAGGAAGAAUGUGAGCAAGGAGGUGCCCAUGAUGUGCUGGAGCAUUCACUGCCUCUUCCCAGCCAGGCCUGAGUCGGGGAUGCUCAGACAGCUGCUCAGAUCUUUAGUCCAUAAAGGGAAAGGGAAGCAGGGGGCUGACGGGCUUCACUGAUUGAGAUAGCAGAGCACCAGUCCAGCAGGCCUCCUCCCCAGUUAACUCGCCUUCCCUGCUCGUAAGAGUUUGUCAGUUACAGUGAAGCGAAUUCUUUGGGAGGCUCUGUCCUAUGGGUGUGGCUGGCAUGGGAGUCCUGAGCUCUGAGCCAGUGGGGAGUCAAGAAGGACACUAGUCAUUCAGGGUGGUCGCUGGCACAUCCAGAAGCCUCACCUUGAGGUGGCUCAUGGUGUGAAGGUGCUGGGGCAGGAGUGGCGCAGAUUGGACACCCUGAUCCUUCAAAGGGUCUUCAUUUGGGGUCAGCUGCAUCAUAUUUUGGGUCAAGGAUUACAACAUAGAUGCAGGAGGCUGUGUCAGCCACCUCCUGCAGGACAUCACCUCUCUCCAAAGUAAUCCUGGAACAAGAGGAUUUGGGAAAUGGGGUGAGGGAAGCCCUGGGUCAGGCACCCAGGGCAUGAUCUAGAGGAAACUGGGCUUCAGGGAUCUCCGUCUCCAGGAAACCAACUACGUUCCCGGCUCAGCCUCGUCCCUCCUUAGUGUUGUGACUCUGGGUAUGUCACUUAGGCCCUGUCAAUUUUAGUGUCCUCAACUGUAAAAUGUGGGUCACAGCCCUGCUCCGCCCACUUCACGGGGCUCCUGUGAGGGUCAUGAGGGAUGACAACAGAUCCUCUUCAGGAGCUAGAAGUUCCUGCCCAUGGAAAGGCUGGAAAGUGACUCGUGACUUGUAGCCACUCUGAGGCAACCACUACUACAGAUCUCCUUCAUUCCCUCAGACAUUAUGUAUUUGAGCAGUUUUCUAGCACUUAUGAAGUGUCAGUCAUUUUUCUGUUGGCUUCGUUUGGGUCUGCUUCUAGGUAGGAUCUGAGCCCAGGACAUCAGGCACCUGCCACUUGCUCUAAGUCACUGAGCUCAGCUGCCCUCCUGAAUUGUCUCAUUAGAGUAACGUCCCCACGCAAUCAUCCGGGUGUUAUGUGAAGUGCUCACAGCACCUCAGGACGCCUCCCGCUAAGCCAGCUUUGACUCGGUUGCUCCCCGAGGCAGCUGUUGGAGACAAGUGUGACUUGGGAAAGGUGAACACCUGCCCACCGUCUCCUGCCUGCACCGUAUCAACAGGGGGCUCUAUUUUCAAUGCAUUUUUCCAAAGCUCAUGGCUCAGAGAUACAACAAGAACAGAUCAUGGAAGAUUCAAAUCCAGACUAUGCCAGAAAAGUGAUCUGGGCUGAAGAAAACCUCCUGGCCAUUCCCAGAAGCAUCCCGUCGGCAUCUGGGCAAAGGCAGGAGGAGCCUCAGACAUCACCACCUGCCAGCUCCUCCACUGAAGGCGUCCUGGACCUGAAGCUAUCAGGAGAUUGGAAUCAUUGCUGUGGUUUGUACAGCAGGGCCUGAGUCUUGGUGAGGAAGGACAGGAGCAGGGAGGCGCCCACUCAGAGCUGGGGCAGCCACUGCCUCUUCUCAGCCAGGCCUGAGUCCAGACUGCUGGGGCAGCUGCUGUGAUCAAGAGGAGGCACUGAGACCCUGGCAGCUUGCCGGCUUCACUCCCUACGCUGCCCAAGCCCCAGCCCAGCAGGCCGCUUUUUCAUUGAAAGAAUCUGCACUGCCCAGCAGCCCGGUUUGGUCAGUUGAAGAGCAGGGAAAUUUGAACACAGGCACAGAGGAAAGAAGGUCAUGUGAUGACACAGGCAGAGAUUGGAGUGGUGCAGCUGCAAGCCAAGGAAAGCCAAGGAUUUCCAGCAACCACCUGAAGCUAGAAAGAAGCAAAGAAAGAUAAUUCCCUAGAGCCUUCAAAUAGAGCACAGCCCAACUGACACUUUAACUUUGGACUUCUAUCCUCCAGCAAUAAAUAUUAGAUCACUUAGGAAUGAUAGAAAUAUCUGGUGAUGGAAUUUCAAGAAUGGAACCUCUGGCCGGGCGUGGUGGAGACAGAGUCUCACUCUGCACCGUGCCGGCCAGAUUUUGGUAUUUCUUAUGGGAAACCUGAGUUCCUGCAUUAGAGGUAUGUUCACACUGGCCUGUUGAAUGCUGUCCUCUUAAAUGUAUUUAAAAAUUAUCCUCUGUAUUUUUCGUAUGCGGUUAUAAAUGUGUUUUGGGGAUCUAUUUUAUUCCUUAAUUUAUAUAUUUGAUUCUAGCGUCAAGCAGGUUCCCUUUGAAUUUUUCCUUUAAAGAACAUGUGCUAUUUCCUAUUACAUCCUGUACCCCUCAAACUGCCCAAUUAGGUAUACUCCUGGGGAAAAUAUGGCAAAGUUUGUUGUAAUGCAGUUUUUUUACCUAAUUAAGUAGCUACUAAAAUAAUUAAUUUCAAAAAUUUGGAGCAAACCUAGAAAGAUGCAGAUGUCUUUGUGGCUUUUCACGCAAUCAAGUUUACCUAUCUUUGCUUUUAAUAUGUAUUUCCUCUUGAUGAAAUGUUUAUUUAGUUUAGUAAACUUGGGAUAUGUCAUUUAUAUCCAUAAAUCAACUUUUUAAAAAAGAGAUAA